This 579-nucleotide long non-coding RNA is filed under the name Coffea arabica (coffee). RNAcentral describes it as "long non-coding RNA (CARA_LNC003815)". Lineage: Eukaryota; Viridiplantae; Streptophyta; Magnoliopsida; Gentianales; Rubiaceae. The record is from RNAcentral.
UCCCUUCUCUUCCUCACGUAGCUCUCUCUUCUUGCUCUCUCUCCACAUCAACCCAAUCUCUCUCUACCUCUUUACCUUCUUGUUACUCAUUCUCCCCAUCCUCCAUGGUUGUCGCCUCCCUCUUCUUGUCACUCACUUUUCCAAUCCUCUGUGGCAGCACCGAGAUUCCCAGGGCUCUUCCUCUUAACUACCGACCCAAUUGCCUUUUUAUUUUUGCUGAAAUAUAGCUGCUGUGGAAGCCUUCCUUUGUGUUGACGAUUGGGGUAUUGAAAUUAUGCAAGUAUACUCACAAUUUCUGGUCAUAAACUUUGACAAAAUCAAAUCCGGAUCUGCUUCGGCUAUCAUUGCAUCACUGGGAUUGUUGCUUCUGAAGCUCCAUUGUCUUUACCAAAAUUCAAUAUAGAUACUAAUUGGUGGUGGUUAGGAGCUAGUUCAAUGGGUAUUGUCAUGGUUGGGUGCUGGUUCAAUGGGAUUAUGGUGGAUAUAUAUGGGGGAUAAGCAUCUGAACGAGGAAGAAGAAAGAUAUGAAAAGAAAAAAGAAAUUAAAAGUAAAAAUUUGAUUAUUAAAUUUGAUACCCA